GUGUCAGCCGCCGCGGUAAUACGUAGGGUGCGAGCGUUAAUCGGAAUUACUGGGCGUAAAGCGUGCGCAGGCGGUUUUGUAAGCCAGAUGUGAAAUCCCCGGGCUCAACCUGGGAAUGGCAUUUGGGACUGCAAGGCUGGAGUGUGGCAGAGGGGACUAGAAUUCCUGGUGUAGCAGUGAAAUGCGUAGAUAUCAGGAGGAAUACCGAUGGCGAAGGCAGGUCCCUGGGCUAACACUGACGCUCAUGCACGAAAGCGUGGGGAGCAAACAGGAUUAGAUACCCGCGUAGUCC
Molecule: ribosomal RNA, 292 nt
Filed under: uncultured bacterium
Lineage: Bacteria
Description: partial 16S ribosomal RNA
Rfam family: Bacterial small subunit ribosomal RNA
Source: RNAcentral